GAGCCCCAACCCCAGGAGUCCCAGGUGUUCCCAUCCUGUGAUCAGCACAGAACACAGAAACCUCACCAUGGAGUUUGUGCUUGGCUGGGUUUUCCUGGUUGCUCAUUUAAAAGGUGUCCAGUGUGACGUGCAGCUGGUGGAGUCUGGGGGAGACCUGGUGAAGCCGGGGGGGUCCCUGAGACUCACCUGUGUGGCCUCUGGAUUCACCUUCAGUAAUUAUGCAAUGAACUGGGUCCGCCAGGCUCCAGGAAAGGGGCUGCAGUGGGUCGCAGCAAUUAGUGGUAGUGGAGGUAGCACAGCCUACACAGACUCCGUGAAGGGCCGAUACACCAUCUCCAGAGACAACGCCAAGAACACGCUGUAUCUGCAGAUGAACAGCCUCAAGACCGAGGACACGGCCACAUAUUACUGUGUGAAAGACACAGUAUUGGGAGUAGCGGCGAAUUGCCAUCGGGGCCCAGCAAGUUGUGGCAGAACCGCGGCCAGGUGGGGAGCACACGGAGAGGAACGCUGUUUCCGGAGAAGAGGAAGUUGGGAGGGUGGUUUUGAAGCGAGGUCCGCAGGAGGAAAGCAGGGCUGCAGGGCGAGCAGGCGCCUCCCGGGCCCGGCUGCAGGCGCGGUGGGUUUCCUGUAG
Prionailurus viverrinus (fishing cat) is the source of this 634-nucleotide non-coding RNA. The record is from the annotation of a RefSeq genome assembly. Lineage: Eukaryota; Metazoa; Chordata; Mammalia; Carnivora; Felidae.